AGUGAACGUUGGCGGCGUGGAUUAGGCAUGCAAGUCGAGCGAUAACCGUAGCAAUACGGGGACAGCGGCGAAAGGGACAGUAAUGUGUAGGUACCUACCCCGAGGUCUGGGAUAGCUGCGGGAAACUGCAGGUAAUACCGGAUAAUGUCUUCGGACCAAAGGUGUGAUUCCACCUUGGGAGGGGCCUGCAUCCUAUUAGCUUGUUGGCGGGGUAACGGCCCACCAAGGCGACGAUGGGUAGCGGGUGUGAGAGCACGACCCGCGUCAUUGGGGCUGAGAUACUGCCCAGACACCUACGGGUGGUUGCAGUCGAGGAUCUUCGGCAAUGGGCGAAAGCCUGACCGAGCGACGCCGCGUGCGGGAUGAAGGCCUUCGGGUUGUAAACCGCUGUCGUAGAGGAGGAAAUGCAGGGGGGUUCUCCCUUCUGUUUGACCUAUUCUAGGAGGAAGGACGGGCUAAGUUCGUGCCAGCAGCCGCGGUAA
RNAcentral lists this ribosomal RNA (482 nucleotides) under uncultured bacterium. RNAcentral's name for it is "partial 16S ribosomal RNA". It matches the Rfam family "Bacterial small subunit ribosomal RNA", at positions 28 to 523 of the family's 1533-position model. The record is from RNAcentral.